This 70-nucleotide transfer RNA is filed under the name Dipodomys ordii (Ord's kangaroo rat). It matches the Rfam family "tRNA". From Rfam's summary of the family: Transfer RNA (tRNA) molecules are approximately 80 nucleotides in length. Their secondary structure includes four short double-helical elements and three loops (D, anti-codon, and T loops). Further hydrogen bonds mediate the characteristic L-shaped molecular structure. tRNAs have two regions of fundamental functional importance: the anti-codon, which is responsible for specific mRNA codon recognition, and the 3' end, to which the tRNAs corresponding amino acid is attached (by aminoacyl-tRNA synthetases). tRNAs cope with the degeneracy of the genetic code in two manners: having more than one tRNA (with a specific anti-codon) for a particular amino acid; and 'wobble' base-pairing, i.e. permitting non-standard base-pairing at the 3rd anti-codon position. The record is from Rfam by way of RNAcentral. Lineage: Eukaryota; Metazoa; Chordata; Mammalia; Rodentia; Heteromyidae.
GGGAAAGUGGCUCAGCGGUAGAGUGCUUGCCUCAUAUGUAUGAGGCCCUGGGUUCAAUUUCUCAGCACCA